RNAcentral lists this microRNA precursor (136 nucleotides) under Ictidomys tridecemlineatus (thirteen-lined ground squirrel). Its description in RNAcentral is "miRNA (ENSSTOG00000029760.1)". The stretch from base 30 to 109 matches the Rfam family "Small nucleolar RNA SNORD20". From Rfam's summary of the family: U20 is a C/D box small nucleolar RNA that is encoded in intron 11 of the nucleolin gene in human, mouse and rat. The record is from RNAcentral. Lineage: Eukaryota; Metazoa; Chordata; Mammalia; Rodentia; Sciuridae.
CUAUUUUUCUUUUAUCACUGAGUGAUAGCUGGAUAUGAUGACUGAUUACCUGAGAAAUAAUUGAUGAAAUAUCAAGAAAAUUCCUCUAGAUAGUCAAGUUCUGAUCCAGCUAUGUCAACUCAGAACAACAAAUUUG